GUUGUUAACCAACCACCAAGUAAAAUUUUGAGAAGACAACCAAAAUGGCUUCACUGACGGUUACAUACUGCAAUGGUUGGUCACCACUACUUACCUCUUCAAUCUCCAAGAGAAGUGCAACAUUCCCAAAUGCUAAAAAUACCAUCAAAUUAUACUCUUUUUCACUUCCAUUGCAACCACUAGUUACUUCUUUUAACUCGCUAAGGAACCCAAGAGCUGCUACAACCAUAUCUUCAUCUAUGGCUACUGGAAGCGUGAAAGAGAUCCUUCCGCCAGCUGUAACUUCUACUUCAGACCCACCUCCAAUCUUUGAUGGAACAACAAGGUUGUACAUAUCUUACACGUGCCCAUAUGCACAGCGUGUGUGGAUUACUCGCAACUGUAAGGGAUUGCAGGACAAGAUAAAAUUGGUUCCUAUUGAUUUGCAAGACAGGCCUGCCUGGUACAAGGAGAAAGUUUAUCCUCCUAAUAAGGUACCUUCAUUGGAACACGAUAAUGAAGUCAAAGGAGAGUCUCUUGAUUUGAUUAAAUAUAUUGACCGCAACUUUGAUGGGCCAUCGCUUUUCCCUGAUGAUCCUGCAAAGAGAGAGUUAGCAGAAGAGUUGUUUGCCUACACUGGCUCAUUCUACAAAGCUCUAGUUUCCUUUUUCAAAGAAGAUGGAAAUGAAGCUGGUGCUGCACUUGAUUUCAUUGAAACAUCUUUUUCAAAAUUUGACGACGGACCAUUUUUCCUUGGCCAGUUCAGUCUGUCAGAAUUUAUGCUCCAUGUGCUAUAUAGGUGGAUAUCGCUUAUGCUCCAUUCAUUGAAAGAUUUCAUCCUGCCUUGUUGGAACUAAGGAAAUAUGAUAUCACUAUAGGAAGACCUAAUCUGGCUGCUUGGAUUGAGGAGAUGAACAAGAAUGAGGCUUACAACCAGACCCGGCGAGAUCCAAAGGAGCAUGUUGAAUCCUACAGGAAACGUUUUUUGGCUAAACUCUGAAGUCUGAACUGUGAAUUCUGUUGUUUUGUCUCUCCAGCCAUGAAAUCUGACAACUAAAGACAAUUUUUCAUAUAAUAGCUCUAAUUGGUUCUAUUCUGAAAGACUUGUGUUGAAGUCUUAAGUCACCGAAGUGUGAAGUAAAAUAACUGGUGUAGUUAGGCACUAAAUCAGCAACUCUAUGUCAUCAAUACGGUUGGCUGGUUAUAGACACAUUUCUAUCAUGACAAAAAUGCACCACAUAGAACAACCACACUAAACAUCCUGUUCUUAUUUUCCUUGAGCAGCAGCUUCUUACAGCAGAUUUGUCUUGCCAACUGGCCACUUCAAACCACCUAGUUAGGCCUGGCCAUUGUUCCAAACCGAACAGGAAAUGGGACCACCCACUGGUUCUUUUAGAUGGUUUUCUAACCGGUUCCAGCCAAUUUUGAAGGUGAUUCUUCUUUGGUUUCGGACCGGGUUCUAAAAACCAAACCCCUGAUUCGAACCUGGGGUGUGGUCCUGUUUCCGGUUUCCUGGGGAACUGGAACUUCCUGUUUCUGGUGUUCCAUCCAAUCCAGUUCAGUUACUGGUUCAGAACCCGACCUUGGUUAGGCUUACCACCCUUUCCUUAAUGUCAUCUUAGAUUGUUUCAUCGCACAUUUUUGGCUUCCUUUAAACAAGUCAGGAGCAGAAAAUCAGAGUA
Non-coding RNA from Jatropha curcas, 1661 nucleotides. Lineage: Eukaryota; Viridiplantae; Streptophyta; Magnoliopsida; Malpighiales; Euphorbiaceae. The record is from RefSeq and is a predicted model, not a curated record.